This 440-nucleotide ribosomal RNA is filed under the name uncultured bacterium. RNAcentral describes it as "partial 16S ribosomal RNA". It matches the Rfam family "Bacterial small subunit ribosomal RNA", at positions 338 to 795 of the family's 1533-position model. The record is from RNAcentral.
CCUACGGGUGGCAGCAGUGGGGAAUCUUCCACAAUGGGGGAAACCCUGAUGCAGCGACGCCGCGUGAGUGAAGGAGUACUUCGUUAUGUAAAGCUCUAGCAGCAGGGAAGAAAAUGACGGUACCUGAGUAAGAAGCCCCGGCUAACUACGUGCCAGCAGCCGCGGUAAUACGUAGGGGGCAAGCGUUGUCCGGAUUUACGGGGUGGAAAGGGAGCGUAGACGGCAGUGCAAGUCUGGAGUGAAAGGGGGGGGCUCAACCCCCGGACUGCUCUGGAAACUGUACGGCUGGAGGGCAGGAGAGGUAAGUGGAAUUCCUAGUGUAGCGGUGAAAUGCGUAGAUAUUAGGAGGAACACCAGUGGCGAAGGCGGCUUACUGGACUGUAACUGACGCUGAGGCUCGAAAGCGUGGGGAGCAAACAGGAUUAGAUACCCCUGUAGUC